Molecule: ribosomal RNA, 331 nt
Filed under: Staphylococcus aureus
Lineage: Bacteria; Bacillati; Bacillota; Bacilli; Caryophanales; Staphylococcaceae
Description: partial 23S ribosomal RNA
Rfam family: Bacterial large subunit ribosomal RNA
Source: RNAcentral
GAUUGUCCUUUGGACAAUGGUAGGAGAGCGUUCUAAGGGCGUUGAAGCAUGAUCGUAAGGACAUGUGGAGCGCUUAGAAGUGAGAAUGCCGGUGUGAGUAGCGAAAGACGGGUGAGAAUCCCGUCCACCGAUUGACUAAGGUUUCCAGAGGAAGGCUCGUCCGCUCUGGGUUAGUCGGGUCCUAAGCUGAGGCCGACAGGCGUAGGCGAUGGAUAACAGGUUGAUAUUCCUGUACCACCUAUAAUCGUUUUAAUCGAUGGGGGGACGCAGUAGGAUAGGCGAAGCGUGCGAUUGGAUUGCACGUCUAAGCAGUAAGGCUGAGUAUUAGGCA